AGGGGUUUGUUCCUGGGCUCAGGAUGAACGCUGGCGGCGUGCUUAACACAUGCAAGUCGAACGGGAUCCUGCGGGCUUUGCUUGCGGGUGAGAGUGGCGAACGGGUGAGUAAUGCGUGACCAACCUGCCCCAUGCUCCGGAAUAGCUCCUGGAAACGGGUGGUAAUGCCGGAUGUGCCGGGCUCCUGCAUGGGGGUCCGGGAAAGCUCUGGCGGCGUGGGAUGGGGUCGCGUCCUAUCAGCUUGUUGGCGGGGUGAGGGCCCACCAAGGCUUCGACGGGUAGCCGGCCUGAGAGGGCGACCGGCCACAUUGGGACUGAGAUACGGCCCAGACUCCUACGGGAGGCAGCAGUGGGGAAUAUUGCACAAUGGGCGCAAGCCUGAUGCAGCGACGCCGCGUGCGGGAUGGAGGCCUUCGGGUUGUAAACCGCUUUUGUUUGGGAGCAAGCCCUUCGGGGUAAGUGUACCUUUCGAAUAAGCACCGGCUAACUACGUGCCAGCAGCCGCGGUAAUACGUAGGGUGCGAGCGUUAUCCGGAUUUAUUGGGCGUAAAGGGCUCGUAGGCGGUUCGUCGCGUCCGGUGUGAAAGUCCAUCGCCUAACGGUGGNAUCUGCGCCGGGUACGGGCGGGCUGGAGUGCGGUAGGGGAGACUGGAAUUCCCGGUGUAACGGUGGAAUGUGUAGAUAUCGGGAAGAACACCAAUGGCGAAGGCAGGUCUCUGGGCCGUUACUGACGCUGAGGAGCGAAAGCGUG
This 751-nucleotide ribosomal RNA is filed under the name uncultured Actinomycetes bacterium. Its description in RNAcentral is "bacterial SSU rRNA". It matches the Rfam family "Bacterial small subunit ribosomal RNA", at positions 1 to 763 of the family's 1533-position model. The record is from RNAcentral. Lineage: Bacteria; Bacillati; Actinomycetota; Actinomycetes.